UGCGUAGGCGGCCCUUUAAGUCGGAUGUGAAAGCCCGCGGCUUAACCGCGGAAUGGCAUUCGAAACUGGAGGGCUUGAGUGUCGGAGAGGGUAGUGGAAUUCCCAGUGUAGCGGUGAAAUGCGUAGAUAUUGGGAGGAACACCAGUGGCGAAGGCGACUACCUGGACGAUAACUGACGCUGAGGCACGAAACGCUAGGGGAGCAAACA
Molecule: ribosomal RNA, 208 nt
Filed under: uncultured bacterium
Lineage: Bacteria
Description: partial 16S ribosomal RNA
Rfam family: Bacterial small subunit ribosomal RNA
Source: RNAcentral